UUAGGAAUAUUGGACAAUGGGGGCAACCCUGAUCCAGCCAUGCCGCGUGAGUGAAGAAGGCCUUCGGGUUGUAAAGCUCUUUCGGAUGUGAAGAUAAUGACAGUAGCAUAAGAAGAAGCUCCGGCUAAACUCGUGCCAGCAGCCGCGGUAAUACGAGUGGAGCGAGCGUUGUUCGGAAUCACUGGGCGUAAAGCGUACGCAGGCGGUCAUGAAAGUCAGGAGUGAAAUCCCAGGGCUUAACCCUGGAAUGGCUCUUGAAACUCCAUGACUAGAGUACUGGAGAGGUUGGCGGAAUUCCGAGUGUAGCAGUGAAAUGCGUAGAUAUUCGGAGGAACACCGAUGGCGUAGGCAGCCAACUGGACAGUAACUGACGCUCAGGUACGAAAGCGUGGGGAUCAAA
This 400-nucleotide ribosomal RNA is filed under the name uncultured bacterium. RNAcentral's name for it is "bacterial SSU rRNA". It matches the Rfam family "Bacterial small subunit ribosomal RNA", at positions 355 to 772 of the family's 1533-position model. The record is from RNAcentral.